CGUGCUUAACACGACAUUGCCGUUUCCAACUUGUCCCUACGUGCUACAUAGUGACCUAUCUAAUUACAGAUUAAACUUACUUUUGUCAGCAUCUGAUGCUUGAGCAAUCAUCUUCGCAUCUCACAGCGAUGUCUACUGUCAAUCCCCAAUCCUUUCUGGGAAUCUAUCUCCAUUUACUGCUAAUCGGAUAUUACUCAUCGAAGCAUGUUGAGGCAUCUGCUUGUCCCUCUGGUUUCAUUCAACUCAAUGCCACCUGCUACUACUUCAGCCAAAGACCUGCGGCUCGAGGGACUGCGCAAGAUCUAUGCUCAUCCGUUGGCGCAACCCUUGCAUCACCGUCUACUGCCGAGGAAGACUCCAUCCUGGUCGGGUACCUGAACUCGUUAGGCGGAGGCUUCAAUUACUGGAUCGGCAUUACACAACAUAAUGCCCUGCACUUUGAGUGGGUGGACGGGUCACCACUGAAUGAAAGUUUCUGGGGAACAGCGUUUGAUCCACACGAUGAGAGGACAAACUGUAUCAGGAUGGAUGCUACGCUUGGUUUCGGCUGGUACGACAAAAGCUGCGGAUCAGGCUAUUACAAUUUUAUAUGUGAAGCUCCUUUCGAGAAUGCACCAGAUGGAGAUUGUUCUAUGUUGUUCCCGCUUGGGCCAGUGCAGUUCGGCGAUUCGUGUUACUUUGUCUGGAACCAGGCGUCAAAGCCUGAGACGUACCAAGACACCCGAGACAUGUGCAGUAAUACUGGCACAGACAUGUUGACAUUGAACACUGAAGCUGAAAGAUUGUUCAUCGUAGAACAAGUCAAAGCACAAAAUUAUACAGCUAUCUGGUUGGGUUUGUAGCAACCGGACUACGGAAAUUACAAGUGGAUGGACGGCGAAGAUUUCAACUACACCAAUUAUGUCCCUUCGCCUUUUUACGAGGGAUCGGAUUGUUUUAGGAUGAAUGCUGCAGAUGGAUAUAAGUGGACAGAUGAUCUUUGUACCAGCAAAAAUCACUUUAUAUGUGAAAAAGACAUAGGUGUUACGCUCGAAGAGGAAAUAAAGAUAAGAUCAUUUAUUGUCGGGAGAAAAGGAAACGUCCCAAUUGCUCAAAACAUUUUUUCC
RNAcentral lists this unclassified non-coding RNA (1106 nucleotides) under Lytechinus variegatus (green sea urchin). RNAcentral's name for it is "low-density lipoprotein receptor-related protein 5- like, transcript variant X2". Lineage: Eukaryota; Metazoa; Echinodermata; Echinoidea; Temnopleuroida; Toxopneustidae. The record is from RNAcentral.